AAAAUGUAGUAUUCGUUUGCUUUCAUUUAUUUCUUAACCCUUUUAUACGAUGUGACAAGUCAACUGUACUACCAUUUAUUUUCCAGAAGAAUAAGGCUUAUUUAUAUAUAUCGAGGAUCCGAAUGGUGACUGCGUUUUGCGGUGCGGGAAAAAUGCGGUGCGGUUCAAAUAAUAACGAAAAUACAUAAAUACAUAUAUCUAUAUAUAGAUUUUGAUAUUAUUACAGCAUUGUUGCAUUGCGGUUUUAGGUGCGGUUUAUAUCAUCAUUUAUGACCUGAAUUACAAAACAAAUUUUGGUCCUUAUAAAACAAAUUU
RNAcentral lists this small RNA (315 nucleotides) under Arabidopsis thaliana (thale cress). RNAcentral describes it as "ATSL078370". The record is from RNAcentral. Lineage: Eukaryota; Viridiplantae; Streptophyta; Magnoliopsida; Brassicales; Brassicaceae.